AUUGAACGCUGGCGGCAUGCCUUACACAUGCAAGUCGAACGGCAGCGCGGGAGCAAUCCUGGCGGCGAGUGGCGAACGGGUGAGUAAUAUAUCGGAACGUGCCCAGUAGUGGGGGAUAGCCCGGCGAAAGCCGGAUUAAUACCGCAUACGACCUGAGGGUGAAAGCGGGGGAUCGCAAGACCUCGCGCUAUUGGAGCGGCCGAUAUCAGAUUAGCUAGUUGGUGGGGUAAAGGCCUACCAAGGCAACGAUCUGUAGUUGGUCUGAGAGGACGACCAGCCACACUGGGACUGAGACACGGCCCAGACUCCUACGGGAGGCAGCAGUGGGGAAUUUUGGACAAUGGGCGCAAGCCUGAUCCAGCAAUGCCGCGUGCAGGAAGAAGGCCUCGGU
Molecule: ribosomal RNA, 391 nt
Filed under: uncultured bacterium
Lineage: Bacteria
Description: bacterial SSU rRNA
Rfam family: Bacterial small subunit ribosomal RNA
Source: RNAcentral